UUACAUAUUCUUAUAUUUCAGGUCCAACUGAAAUCUUCACAAUGACCAUUCUUGCUGGUCAAAAUCCUGCAAUUAUUGCAAAACUCAACGCCGGUUGAUUAACCGAAAUCCAGAUUCCAAGAAUGUGGAGCUGGUUGUUCUGCCUACUUGCAGCUGCCUCACUAUUCAUGACUUCAUCAAUGGCACAACAACAAAACUCCGAUGAAAUUCCCAGGCUCUGGAAAGGUCGAUGUUCACUUUUGUCCAAAAGAAACAACUCUAAUUAGCCUUGCUGGGCCCAUGUUUCCAGAAACAAGUAAUACUAUUCCAUUAAGCUUGCUUGCUUAGCUAAAAACUUCUUUGAAAUUUCACGGCUUCAAAUCAAAAACUCAAAGUACUGCUCUGUUGUCAUUGAACAACGACUAUCUGUAGUCAAAGUAUUAAA
Long non-coding RNA from Stegodyphus dumicola, 424 nucleotides. The record is from RefSeq and is a predicted model, not a curated record. Lineage: Eukaryota; Metazoa; Arthropoda; Arachnida; Araneae; Eresidae.